Non-coding RNA from Phascolarctos cinereus (koala), 1107 nucleotides. The record is from RefSeq and is a predicted model, not a curated record. NCBI's taxonomy places the organism in Eukaryota, Metazoa, Chordata, Mammalia, Diprotodontia, Phascolarctidae.
UGCAAAUGUGAUUUUUUUUUAACUAUUUCUUUUGUCAAAGAUGUUUCAACUACUUGAGAGUAGUUACAUUUCUGAGAAUUGGUUUCUUUUCCCCCCAAUAGGCUGCAAGGAGCUGACAACUUUCAAGUGGUCUCAGUAUUCUUGAAUGAUAAUGAAUGAGAAAGAGGCUUAUAAUUUACCAGGAACACAAUCCUUUGAGCUGGAUUAGCCCCCUCCCUGUGCAGUCAGAUCAGAGAGCUGCCAUCCUUCCUCAAUGAGGAAUUCGGAUUUCCCCUUAUGCCCUUGUUCUGUCUUCUCAGGGUCAACAAGAGAAGAGAUGAUUCUCUCAUCUCACCUGAACAUUUUCAGAGUGGUCCUUUUCCCACUUUGGGCAAUAUUUUACAGAGUAGGUGAUUUCCAUGAGUGGCUGUGUACGAAAAAAACCAAUUGUCACCUACUUAUCAACCCUCUGGCGAUUGAAGCUCUGAAUUUAUCAAGGCUGGGAAAGUUCUCUUGUAUUAGCUCCAUUUUAAGUUGCUGUUGACAUGCUCCUCUACCAGCCUGCCUCAGGCAUCAGACAUCACAAGACCAGUGUGUGCAAUUUACUAGGAGGAGGGAUCCACGAAAAGCCCUCAGAAGAGCCUUCAAAAGAUGAUACCCGGAGGCAAAGGGCAUGUUAAUCAGGACAACUGACCAUAACAAAGUGCUCAGCAUCAGCCUGAAUGAGAUUUCAAAGUAAAGGAUUUCCUUCACUCCCUUUCCAGAGGCUAUUUGGCCCAGCACCUUCUUUGAUGUGGGUACACCAUGCUGGUUAUCCUUUGCUAGCGCAAUCGAUUCCUAAGUUCUUCAGAGAGACCAUCAGAGUGUCCUUGUAUAACUUCUUCUGGCCACCACUAUUUUUGGGUCAAACCACUUCUAGACUGCCAGAAGAAUCACGGAAUCAUGGAACUUAGGAGGAACCUAAGCAGCUGUGUUGUCUUUAACCCAUACCUGAGAAGAAUCCUCACUAUAUAUGCCUGGCAAAUGGUCAUCUAGUCUCCAUUUGAAGAUCUCCAAGGAGGGGUAACCCACCAUGUCUUCAACCAUCCUGUUCUACUUUUUGAAUAAAUCUAAUUAUUAAGAUUUUUU